RNAcentral lists this ribosomal RNA (253 nucleotides) under uncultured bacterium. RNAcentral's name for it is "partial 16S ribosomal RNA". It matches the Rfam family "Bacterial small subunit ribosomal RNA", at positions 524 to 776 of the family's 1533-position model. The record is from RNAcentral.
UACAUGGGGUGCAAACGUUGCUCGGAAUCAUUGGGCGUAAAGCGCGCGUAGGCGGUUGCUUAAGUCGGAUGUGAAAGCCCUCGGCUUAACUGAGGAAGUGCAUCCGAAACUGAGCAGCUAGAGUACGAAAGAGGGUCGCGGAAUUCCCGGUGUAGAGGUGAAAUUCGUAGAUAUCGGGAGGAACACCGGUGGCGAAGGCGGCGACCUGGGUCGAGACUGACGCUGAGGCGCGAAAGCCAGGGGAGCAAACGGG